This 468-nucleotide ribosomal RNA is filed under the name uncultured bacterium. RNAcentral describes it as "partial 16S ribosomal RNA". It matches the Rfam family "Bacterial small subunit ribosomal RNA", at positions 28 to 507 of the family's 1533-position model. The record is from RNAcentral.
GACGAACGCUGGCGGCGUGCUUAACACAUGCAAGUCGAACGGAAAGGCCCUGCUUUUGUGUGUUGCUCGAUUGGCGAACGGGUGAGUAACACGUGAGUAACCUGCCCUUGACUUUGGGAUAACUUCAGGAAACUGGGGCUAAUACCGGAUAGGAGCUCCUGCUGCAUGGUGGUGGUUGGAAAAUUUCGGCGGUUGGGGAUGGACUCGCGGCUUAUCAGCUUGUUGGUGGGGUAGUGGUUUACCAAGGCUUUGACGGGUAGCCGGCCUGAGAGGGUGACCGGCGACAUGGGGACUGCGAGAGGGAGCAGAAUGGUACGGGAGGCAGCAGGGGGGAAUAUUGCAGAAUGGGCGGAAGCCUGAUGCAGCAACGCUGCGUGCGGGAUGACGGGCUUUGGGUUGUAAACAGAUUUCGAAGGUGACGAAGAGUGCGUGACGGUAAUGGGUAAAGAAGCAACGGCUAACUACGUG